This is a long non-coding RNA of Gasterosteus aculeatus aculeatus (three-spined stickleback), 686 nucleotides long. The record is from Ensembl. NCBI's taxonomy places the organism in Eukaryota, Metazoa, Chordata, Actinopteri, Perciformes, Gasterosteidae.
AAACGUUCCCUUUAGGGAAGUAAAAGCAGAGCAGCGGCUCUUUGGUGGUUGUUUACGAAGCACAAACUAAAAACCGUAAACUCAAAAGCCCCAGAGGCCCAGAGAUCACGACGAGGGGGUCGGAGUUCAUCUUCUUCAUUCGUCCAAACCUCCUUCAUGUCCACUUGUGUUGGUUAAGGAGGAACCGGACAGCACGCUGCUCUCCUUCAAGCGACGCACGCGUACAUGCACCGAAAGGCGGAGAAGCUUCCAUGUGCUUAACGAGUGAUGAUGACGACUGUGCUCUGUGAUGCGAUGCCAGCUGGCCGAAACCUUCCUCUUCCUGGGCACAGGAGUCCAACGACGGAUUUCACAUAAAAGGAAUUUCCUGAUUUUGACUGUAAAGAAAGCCAAAUAAGAUGCUUUUGUUUUUUCUAAUGCCAGUUAUUAUUAAAUUCAGUUAUUUUGGAACGGGCCACGUUGUCUCUGCACCUCAUUUGUCUUUCUUCUAAAAAAAAAAAUCUUACAGAUUCUACACCAAGUAGCUUUCCGUUCUCACAAAGCCCUUAUACAGUUUACAGGAAACAUUUGGGUAUUCUUCUUAGUAUUUUUUUAAACAGUACGUUUUACUGUUUUCAAAAGCAAACUGUUUCAUUGCCGGUGUUAUUAUUCUUAUUCCACCAGAGCCACAGUGCAACUAAAUGGCA